Molecule: ribosomal RNA, 684 nt
Filed under: Klebsiella pneumoniae
Lineage: Bacteria; Pseudomonadati; Pseudomonadota; Gammaproteobacteria; Enterobacterales; Enterobacteriaceae
Also listed under: 1 other name
Description: partial 23S ribosomal RNA
Rfam family: Bacterial large subunit ribosomal RNA
Source: RNAcentral
UGGUGGGUAGUUUGACUGGGGCGGUCUCCUCCCAAAGCGUAACGGAGGAGCACGAAGGUUAGCUAAUCCUGGUCGGACAUCAGGAGGUUAGUGCAAUGGCAUAAGCUAGCUUGACUGCGAGCGUGACGGCGCGAGCAGGUGCGAAAGCAGGUCAUAGUGAUCCGGUGGUUCUGAAUGGAAGGGCCAUCGCUCAACGGAUAAAAGGUACUCCGGGGAUAACAGGCUGAUACCGCCCAAGAGUUCAUAUCGACGGCGGUGUUUGGCACCUCGAUGUCGGCUCAUCACAUCCUGGGGCUGAAGUAGGUCCCAAGGGUAUGGCUGUUCGCCAUUUAAAGUGGUACGCGAGCUGGGUUUAGAACGUCGUGAGACAGUUCGGUCCCUAUCUGCCGUGGGCGCUGGAGAAUUGAGGGGGGCUGCUCCUAGUACGAGAGGACCGGAGUGGACGCAUCACUGGUGUUCGGGUUGUCAUGCCAAUGGCACUGCCCGGUAGCUAAAUGCGGAAGAGAUAAGUGCUGAAAGCAUCUAAGCACGAAACUUGCCCCGAGAUGAGUUCUCCCUGAGACUUUAAGUCUCCUGAAGGAACGUUGAAGACGACGACGUUGAUAGGCCGGGUGUGUAAGCGCAGCGAUGCGUUGAGCUAACCGGUACUAAUGAACCGUGAGGCUUAACCUUACAACGCCGAAG